This 490-nucleotide ribosomal RNA is filed under the name uncultured bacterium. RNAcentral's name for it is "partial 16S ribosomal RNA". It matches the Rfam family "Bacterial small subunit ribosomal RNA", at positions 29 to 507 of the family's 1533-position model. The record is from RNAcentral.
AUUGAACGCUGGCGGCAUGCCUUACACAUGCAAGUCGAACGGCAUCGCGGGAAAGCUUGCUUUCCUGGCGGCGAGUGGCGAACGGGUGAGUAACACAUCGGAACGUACCGGCUAGUGGGGGAUAACCCGUCGAAAGACGGGCUAAUACCGCAUACGCUCUUCGGAGGAAAGCAGGGGACCUUUGGGCCUUGCGCUAGUCGAGCGGCCGAUGUCCGAUUAGCUAGUUGGUGGGGUAAAGGCCUACCAAGGCGACGAUCGGUAGCGGGUCUGAGAGGACGAUCGGCCACACUGGGACUGAGACACGGCCCAGACUCCUACGGGAGGCAGCAGUGGGGAAUCUUGGACAAUGGGGGCAACCCUGAUCCAGCAAUGCCGCGUGGGUGAAGAAGGCCUUCGGGUUGUAAAGCCCUUUCGGCAGGGAAGAAAUCGGCGGGGCGAAUAACCCUGCUGGAUGACGGUACCUGCAGAAGAAGCACCGGCUAACUACGUG